RNAcentral lists this long non-coding RNA (1325 nucleotides) under Gossypium barbadense (sea-island cotton). RNAcentral's name for it is "long non-coding RNA (GBAR_LNC022207)". Lineage: Eukaryota; Viridiplantae; Streptophyta; Magnoliopsida; Malvales; Malvaceae. The record is from RNAcentral.
CCUAUCAUAUCCCAAAGCACAUUUCCUCUUCUUUGCAUCUUUUGACCAUUAAUGGAGCUUUCUGGCUUUACUUUCUAUCAUUGUAAAUUUUCUUUUGAAGCGCCAUACCAGAUUUAUCCUAAAUCUGAGUUCAUUAGAGAAAAGUAAGAACUAUUGUUUUUGGCUAAACAUCCCUGGACUCAGAAAGAAAUGACCCAUCUUUACGAAAUCAAAUAUCUUUUUUGAUCAUUGACGACUGUGGGUUCAACUUCCGUCGGUACCUCUUCAAUCCAACAGGACGGGCUAGUAAGAUUUUACCCUCGAGCUGCAAGGGAGCGCGUUGCUUCAUUUUCCUUUCGAGGAGUAAAUUGAAAAGAUAAGUUAAGAAAUCUGGGUCUUUUUUUUUGGAUCAUUAAUAAUGUUGCCAAUCGCUGAUCUGUCCUCUAAGUCUGAUUUGAUUUUUUUUAACUAUUAGAUCUCGAAAACCCAUUUCUUCCCCAAAUAUUACUGCUUGAAGACACGUCUUUUCUUUUUUGAAGUGGUUGGAUCUCCAUUUCUUCCUAGUGGGUAAGUACAUGCUCCCAUCACAAGACCUUCAUGAUUUCUUAUAAUGAUUCCCGCUGUCGCUGUCAUGUCCUGUUGUAAAAAUGCUGCACCAAAAUUAGCUUUAACUUGUUCUGCCUUGGGGGUCUCCAGAAGCCCUCUUUUGGUUUAAUGUUGACCUCUCUUAUGGAUUUAAUUUGAUCUAAUUCUAGAAUAUAAGCUUUAAUAAAACCCACAACCUCCUAUACCCUUCUUUUUUUCCCUUCAUGGUAAUAUCUAUUUCUAUUGUACCAUACUUACCCAAAUUGAAAUUGCCAUAACUGCACACACAUUAAUGUUAUUGAUGCAAAAGAAAGAGGUUGACUAUUGUUUCCAUGUUUGUUUUGUGUUUAUGUGCUAGACGUCAACCCUGACCUCCUAUAAGACCUCUUUUGUGAAUUCGCAAUCUCGAAAAAGGUGUUCCACAAUUUUUUCUUCCAUUGAGCAGAUUGGACAAGCAUCAUCGUUCCUGAGUCUUCGAGUCUUUAGGUUACUAAGCGUUGGGAGAUAAUUGUUAGAAAAUCUCCAUAAAAGUAUUUUUAUUUUACUGGGAAUCGGGAGGUUCCAUAAUUUUGUAAAAUAAGCUUUUAUAUUAGUUUGGUCUGUAUAAUAAUCCUGUAGAUGAAGGGUAUUAGUCAUUAGCCAUUUAAAACCACUCUGAACUAUGUAUUUGCCCGAUUUGUACCCACGCCAUAUCAUAACAUCCUAUUGAGUCCUGAUUACCAAUGGAAUAGACAGGGUUGCCUUGGCUUGUUCCCUUUUUA